This is a small nuclear RNA of Monodelphis domestica (gray short-tailed opossum), 99 nucleotides long. The record is from Ensembl. NCBI's taxonomy places the organism in Eukaryota, Metazoa, Chordata, Mammalia, Didelphimorphia, Didelphidae.
UUGCUUCAGCAGCACAUAUCCUAAAAGUGGAAUGAUACAGAGUUAGCAUGGCUCCUGCUCAAGGAUGACGUGCAAUUUUGGGAAACAGUCCAUAUUUUU